Non-coding RNA from Pelobates cultripes (western spadefoot toad), 345 nucleotides. Lineage: Eukaryota; Metazoa; Chordata; Amphibia; Anura; Pelobatidae. The record is from the annotation of a GenBank genome assembly.
GGCAAGAACAUGCUAGACCAGCUAAAGGGCUUCUAGCUUGUGAUAUUGUGAAGGAAAUGGCGGGGAGGAGGCAAUGUUAAAAAUCAAGAAAAUUUCUAAGAUUUGUGGUUUUCAGUUGCCGCCUGGUGGUAGGUUACAACCUGAGUUUUGGAGGAAGUUGCUUGUGGACAAGGAAGGGUGGUUGUCAGAUAAUGGGUUAACCAAAGCAGUAGAGGCUUGGUAUCGGGUUGCUAGAGGACUUAAGCGGAAGGGUUGGACGGAGGAAGAGCUAGAGUUUGAGGGACAAACGCUUUAUGUGUACCAUCGAAAUGAUUGUAAUACUAAUGUUUCCCCUGACCAUUCCCG